GGGGAGCAGUGGAACCACCUGGAUAUUUGGGGAAGAGCAUUUUCAACUGACUGAGAGAUUAGCAAGUGCAAAAGCACUGAAUGCCUGGUGUGUCUGAAAAACAGCGCCUUCCGGCUGCUGGGUUGAGAAGGUUCUGAAGGAACGAAGCGGCAGAAGCAAGGAAGCUAGUCAGGAGGCUGCUGUGAUAAUCUGGGUGAGAGGAGAGGGUGACUGGGAUCAGGGUGGUUGCAGGGGACGUGGUGAGACGUGGGACUAUGCUGAAGGCAGAGCCAACAAGACUGCCUGAUGGAUUUGAUGUGGGCUUUGAGAGAAAAGGAGGAAUCAAGGAUGACUCCAAGAUUUUUUGGGCUAAGCAACUGGAAGAACAGAUUUGCCAUAAAGUUAAGUGGGGAAAGAUUCAGAGGAGGAAGUUUUCUGGGGGAAGACCAGGAGCUCAGUGUUGGACAUGCCCAGAGUGAGAUAGCUUAUUAAAUGUUCCAGCUACAAUGUUGAAGAGAGAGCCAAAUCUGGAGUUCAUAGCAGCCAAACUGAAGAUAGGGAUUUGCAAGUAAUCAGUGUGCAGAUGGUAUCUGAUGCCACGAGACUGAGUUCACCAAAGUAGCAAGAACAGCCAAAAAAACAAGCCCUGGGAGCGAGCUUGAAGAUGCUGCAAGGUUAAGAGGUCAGGGAUACAAGGAGGGAUCAGGAAGAAGCAGCUAAGGAAGAGGACAACCAGGAGGAUGUGUCUUUGUGGAAUUCCAGUGAAGGCGCUGUCCCAAGGAGAUCAAUAUAAUCAGUGGUGUGUGCCUGAUAGGAUCUGUCUGCAGACCUGCUGAGUGUGAGGGUCACUGGCAGGUCAGAGAGUGCAGCUGAACUAUGAGGAAUCGAGAUUGAGGAGCAGUUUAGACAGGGCCAGGGUGUCGGGGAAAGGGCCCUAAGGAAUGAGUGGGAAUUUGUGGAUUAGGGAAAACAGCUGCCCAGAGGUGUCCAUUUUGGACCCCAGAUGCUGGGGUUAAUCCCCAGAGUAAAGGAGACCAAGGCAGUGGUGGGACAUGGGAAUGCAGCAAUCCUCCUGGGACCUCAGGCUCUGCCCCAUAAGAAGGUCUCCCAUGAGCUCUGAGGCUGCUGGUGCAGCUCUCCUCAGUCAGAUGGACCGACUGGCUGCCAGCCUGAUGGUGAGAGCUGAUGAUGGUAGGAGCUGCUAAAAUGAGGUCAGGUCUGUGUUAUGGGCUGAAUCGUGCCCCCUACCCCCACCCCCCAAUUUAUGUGUUGAAACAUUAACCCCCAGUAUCUCAGAGUAUAACUGUAUUUGGAGUCAAGGUCUUUAAAGAGGUGAUUGAGUGAAAUGAGGCCUUUAGAGUGGGCCCUAAUCCAAUCUGACGGGGUCCUUAUAAGAAGAGGAGAUGUAGAAACCAGAGAAGCACACAGAGAGGGGAAAAGGCCAUGUGGGACACAGCGAGAAGACAACCAUCUGCAAGCCAAAGAGAGAGGCCUCAGAGGAAACCAACAUUUCCAACACCUGGAUCUUGAAUUUCCAGCCUCCAGAACCAUGAGAAAAUAAAUUUCUGCUGUUUAGGUCACCCAGUCUGUGGGAAGACCUGCAAGGCAAGAAACUGAGGAUGGCUUCUGGCCAAAAGCCAGCUUGAACUGGGGCCCUCAGUCCCACAGCCCAAAAGGAGCAGAAUCCUUCCGACAACCACCCAAGUGAGCUUGGAGGCGCAUCCUUCCCCAGCUGAGCCUUCAGGUAAGACCACAACCUUGGCUGACACCUUGAGUGCAGCCUUGUGAGAGACUCUGAAGCAGAAGGCAGCAAAGCUGUGUCCAGAUUCCUGACCCACAGAAACUGUGUGAUAAUAGAUGUGUAUUGUUUUAAGGUGCUAAGUGUGUGCUCAUUUAUUACUCAGCAGGAGAUAAACAAUACAAUCCUGAAAUAGGUCCUUGGGAAAUAGAAGUUUGGACAGAUCUCCAAGAUUUCUUUCAGUGCAAACUUUCUACGGAACAGAUUAAGAGCCCACAGUCAGUACUCUUGGAUUGGUUAGCUUGUGGCUGCCCAUUGAUGCCUUGUUUAAAAGCCAGCUUUUUGUGUUUCAGAUUUUUGCAGAAGGCAGCUGGAGUUUGUUAAAUAGAGUCUCCCCAAAAUUCAUGUCCAUCCAGAACCUCAGAGUGUGACCUUAUUUGGAGGCAGGGUCUUUGUAGAUGUAUUAGGUUGAGAUUAUACUGGAUGAGGGUUGACCCUAAAUCCAAUGACUGGUGUCCUUGUAAGAAGAGGAGAGGACACAAAGAAACAUACAGAGAAGAAGGAGAUAUGAAGACAGAGGCAGAGAUUAGAGUGAUCAGCUACAAGCCGAAGAGCGCGAGGAUUGCCAAGAGUCACCAAAAGCUGGGAGAGAGGCAAGGAAGGAUUUUUUCCUAGAUCCGUUGAAGGGAGUGUGGUCCUGCUGACACCUUGAAUUUGGACUUCUGACUUCCAGAACUGUGAGAGAACACAUUUCUAUUGUUCUAAGCCAGCUAGUUUGUGGUAAUUUGUCAUGGCAGCCCUAAGAGACUAAUACAAUAGCAUAUUUACAUUUUUAAACUCAUGUAUGCCAUACAGAAGUCACUGGGAUUCUUGGAAUUUUCAUGAAGAAUUAUACAUAUUCCAUUAUGUGGCUAUGAAGAAGAAUGAUUUUGAAGAUUCUAGUUUGUGUAUUUCCUGGCCUGCUGUCAGGCCUGAUUUAUCUGAGGCACCCUCAGACCAGUUCCCAUUUCAGGAGGACCCGAGGGCAGGAUGAAGGGUGGGGAGGUCAGAGCCCUUGAACAGGGACCCUGGACCGCUCAGCACAAGGCACAGACUUCACAGCGCAGCAAAACUCUGCUUGUUUCUUCAGAAGUCAUUACGAAAGGUCUUUUUGGCAUUUUUGCUUCCUUUCUGGAGCUUUGGCCCACGCAGCGACCUCAGUGUCUCCUGACCAUGGAGUCACGUGCCUUUCUCUACUGUGGAGUUUGAGCUUUAUAAAGCCCCAGCUCUUUGGCAAUAGAGAGCGCGUGGGCCUGACAUCAGCAGUGGGGCGAAGUCUUUCUUCGGCUUUCCAUCCAUGUCCACAUGAUACCAAUGACUUCUGGUGGACUCCUGAUUUGACCCUCCGAUAGAGGAAGCUGCACUACGCAGAUUCUCCUGAGACAGGCCCUUAAAUGCUGAGCACAGCACUAGGUAGGCCUUCAGAGUUUACAAAGCUUCCCCAAAUACACUCCCAUUAGAGCCCCACAGCCACCCUGGAGGCAGGCAUCUCAAGUCCAUUUCACAGAGGAGAAGAUCUGUGUUCAGUGGGAGAAUGGGGAAAAGUAUGGUUCGAGGACAUAACCAGCAUGUGUUAAGUCUCCUCCUGGGACCAGCACUGUGUUGGAUGCUUUAUACACAUUUGAUCCUUUAAGGGAACUUGUGAGGCAAGUUGUAUUUUCAUGCUAUUUUUCUUUAAAGAUAGGAUAACUGUGAUGGACUGCAUGUUUGUGUCCCCCACCAAUUGACAUGUUGAAACCCUAACCCCCAAUGGGAUGGUAUUUGGAGGUGGGGCCUUUGAGAGGUGAUUAGGUUUAUAUGAGGUUACAAGUGGAGCCCCCACGAUGGGAUCAGUGUCCUCAUAAGAAGAGGAAGAGAUCAAGAGCUCUCUCUCCACCAUGUGAGGACAUAGCAGGAAGGCCGCUGUCUACAAGCCAGGAAGAGGCCUCUCACCAGACACUGGAUCUGCUGGCACCUUGACCUUGGACUUCCAGCCUCCAGAACUGUGAGAAAUAGAUGUUUGCUGCUUAAGCUGCCCAGUUGACGGUAUUCUUGUUAUAGUGGUGCAAACACACAACAACUAGGCUCAAAGAGGAAAGUGACACAGCAAUAAGUGGAAGAGCAGGAACUGAAACUCAGCUCUCUGUCUUGUGUUUAGUGCUUUUUCCCAUCACUACCUCCAUUAGCUAUCUUUUGCUGAACAACAGAUCACCCCAAAACAGUAGUUUAAAACAAUGACGAUAAUUUACGAUCUCACAGUUUCUAUGGAUUAGAAAUUUGGGAGCAGUUGGAGCUGGGCUAUUCUGGCUCAGAGUCUUUCAUGGAAUCCCAGGCAGGAUGUCAGCCAGGGCCUGCUGUCAUCGGAAGACUUGAUGGCAGACUCACAUGACUGACAAAGUGGUGCUGGCUGUUGGCAGAAGGCCUCAGUUUCUCUCCCCCAGGGCUGCUUGAGUGUCCUCACAACAUGGCGGCUGGCUUCCCCAAGUGAAUGAUCCAUGAGAGAGCAAGACAGAAGCCACAACGUCUUUUACGACUUUGCCUCAGAAGCCAAAUGGUCAUUUCUGCAAUAUCCCCUUGGUUGUAAUUAUACUUCAUAAUUUUUUUGAUGCUCUGAUGCAGUUUUAAAGAUUUUAUUUUUAUUUUUCCUUUUUCUCCCCAAAGUCCCCUGGUACAUAGUUGCAUAUUUUUAAUUGUAGGUCCUUCUAGUUGUGGCAUGUGGGAUGCUGCCUCAGCAUGGCCUGAUGAGCGGUGCCAUGUCCAUGCCCAGGAUCCGAACCGGCAAAACCCUGGGCCGCUGAAGCGGAUUGCGCGAACUUAACCACUUGGCCAUGGGGCUCACCCCUCUGAUGCAGUUUUAAACAACUAUUUUGAAGUAUAAUUGAUUUAUGGUCAACUACACAUAUAUGCAGUGUACAAUUUGGUGGGCUUUGACAUAUGCCUACAUCAAUGAAACGAUCACCAUAAUGAAGAUAACGAAUACUUCCAUCACCCCCAAAAGUUUCCUUAUGCCCCUUAGUAAACUACCCCUACUUCUACUCCUGCCCCCAGGCAACCACUGAUAUGCUAUCUGUUACUAAGUAUUAGUUUUCAUUUUCAAGAAUUUUUUUUUUUAGUGAGGAAGAUUGGCCCAGAGCUAACAUCUGUUGCCAAUCUUCCUCUUUUUGCUUGAGGAAGAUUGGCCCUGAGCUAACAUCUGUGCCGAUCUUCCUCUAUUUUGUAUGUGGGAUGCCACCACAGCAUGACUUGAUGAGCAGUGUGUAGAUCUGCUCCUGGGAUCUGAACCCACGAACCUUGGGCCGCCGAAGUGGAGCACACAAACUUAACCACUAUGCCACUGAGCUGGCCCCCCAUUUAAUUAAAUGGAACCACGCAGUACAUUCUCUUUUACAUCUGGCUUCUUUCUUUCAAUGUAAUGAUUUUGACAACCAUCCACGUUGUUAUGUAUAUCAAUAGUGCGUUCCUUUUUAAAUAUUAAAAAAUUUUAAUAGCUUUAUUAAGGUAUAAUUGACUUAUAAUAAAUUGCCUGUAUUUAACAUGUAUGCAUUGAUAAGUUUUGACCCACGAAUAUACACCAUGAAACCAUCACAUUAACCAAGAUAAUGAAAAUGUCCAUCACCUCCAAAAGUUUUCUUAUGCCCCUUCAUAAUCCCUCCCUCCUGCUUUUCUCUCUAUCCCCAACCCAGGAAACCACCGAUCUUGCUCUCACAAUGAAUUUGAUUGCAUUUUCUAGAAUUUUAUACAAAUAGAAUCAUACAGUAUUUCUUAUUUGGAGAUUCAUCUAUGGAGGUGCAUAUGUCAACAGUUCACUCUUUUUUAUUGCUGAGUACUAUUCCAUUGAAUAGAUAGGUCAUGAUUUGUUUACCUGUCCCUGUCAAUGGAGGUUUGGGUUGUUUCCACUUCUUGGCUGUUGUAAAGAAAGCUGCUACGAACAUUCAAAUGCAAGUCUUCGUGUGAACAGAUAUUUUAAUUUCUCUUGGGUACAUACCUAAAAGUGGAAUGGCUAGGUCAUACGUAAGUGUGCUGAACUUUUUAAGAAACCGUGAAGCUGUUUUGAAGUGCUGGUACCAUUUUACAUUCCCACCAGCAGUGUGUGAGAGCUCCCGUUGUUCCCCAUCCCUACCAACACUUGGUGUGGGCGGUCUUUCAGUGCAGUCAUUCCAGUGGGGCUGUGUGGUAUCUCAUCGUGGUUUUAAUGUGCCUUUCCCUGACAACUAAUGUGCUUAUUAGCCAUUCAUAUAUUGCCUUUUGUGAAGUAUUUAUUCACACCUUUUGCCCAUUUUUGAAACUAAACUGUUUAUCUUCUUCUGAGUGAAUAAAAGCAAAGUACAGAGAGUGUUAUAAACAUGUAAGUUAUUUAUACAGGAAGAGUGGGCCCUGUCUGGUUUCCCUCCUGGCCUCUAUAGCUCCCUGCCCACAUUGUGACCAGAAAUCUGUUGCUGGUGGAGGGGAAUUGUAAGGACCUGGGCAAAUGCAGCAAAGAGGGUCACACGGCAGAGGAGGCGGGGUAGAUAUGAGGUUGGCAGGUAUCUUAUGGCAUCAUAACCUCAUAUGACUGGGAAGGUCAUUGAGUCUGGGCACCUCUUACCACUUCUUUUUUGGUGAGGAAGAUUGGCCCCGACCUAGCAUCUGUUGCCCAUCUUCCUCUUUUUCCUUGAGGAGGUUUGUCACUGAGCUAACAUCUGUCCCAAUCUUCCUCUAUUUUGUGUGUGGGAUGCCACCACAGCAUGGUUUGACGAGCAGUGUGUAGGUCUGCGCCCAGGAUCUGAACUGGUGAACCCGGGCCGCCAAAGCAGAGUGAGCGAACUUAACCACUGUGCCACCGGGCUGACCCCACUUUCCACCUUUUGAUCCCAGCUCCCUUAUGGCUCCUGGUUGAAAAUCCUUCAAACUAUGGAUAUAUAAAUUACCAGGAAAUUUGGCUGCAAAGUGUAAACACUGUAGAUGAAUCCCAUCUCCAAACUGAUGCCCAAGUAAGGCAGAAGUAGCGGGGGGUGUGGGUUGGGUGGUCUUUGCUCUGCCCCCUGAGAGUGGUUUUGCACAUCACCGGGCACUUUACCAACAGUGACGAUUAGGAUGAGGAUUCUAACUAUUCUUUACACUGAUCGAGCAUGAAACAGUUUUAACAGCAUGCCCUUGCCUAUUCUACUUCUUCCGUCUGAGAUGGGCUUGGCAUCGGUCAGUGAGCC
This 6921-nucleotide long non-coding RNA is filed under the name Equus caballus (horse). RNAcentral describes it as "lncRNA (ENSECAG00000058560.1)". Lineage: Eukaryota; Metazoa; Chordata; Mammalia; Perissodactyla; Equidae. The record is from RNAcentral.